CCCUUAGAUGUUCUGGGCCGCACGCGCGCUACACUGAUGCAUUCAACGAGCCUAGCCUUGACCGAGAGGUCCGGGUAAUCUUUGAAACUGCAUCGUGAUGGGGCUAGAUUAUUGCAAUUAUUAAUCUUCAACGAGGAAUGCCUAGUAAGCGUGAUUCAUCAAAUCGCGUUGAUUACGUCCCUGCCCUUUGUACACACCGCCCGUCGCUACUACUGAUUGGAUGUUUAAGCGAGGUUCUCGAACUGCUAGCGACUUAGCUUCGGUGAGGUCGCAGUGUGGGAAGUGAACCUAGCUUUGGUGUCUAGAGGAAGUAAAAGUCGUAACA
RNAcentral lists this ribosomal RNA (325 nucleotides) under uncultured eukaryote. RNAcentral describes it as "partial 18S ribosomal RNA". It matches the Rfam family "Eukaryotic small subunit ribosomal RNA", at positions 1470 to 1796 of the family's 1831-position model. The record is from RNAcentral.